UUUCUCUCUUUGCAGGAAGUUAAGGUCCACAUGGAGUCUUUCCCAUGUGCCAAACAAAUCAAGUGGAGUUCACUUUUCUUUGCAAAGAAGACAGUUGGAAGUGAAGAAAACUCAUUUACAUGUUCAGUUACUGAGUACAUGUCAACUUCCUCCUGAAUGAUCUUGUUAUCCUGAAAAUGAACACAGUUUGUGUCUCUGAAUUUAAAUGAGAAAAAGAAGAAAUCUUCUCCAACAGUGAUAACUUAUUGGAAGGAGGACUGUUUCUGGUAUACAUGCGUCAUACUUUCAGCCAGCAACAUGACCAUUAUGACCAUUGGAGGGAAUAAUUUGGACUUUUCACCUCUGGCCAUCAAGUUUCUGAUGAAAGCUGAGCAGGAGGGACUUCUAUCGGGAAACCUCCGCUCUGUCUCUGACUGUAGGAGUGUGCGCACCCGUGCGUGUGGGUGCAAGAUGCAUGGAGGAUCGGGAUGACCGGAAGCACCGAUGGAGGGCCCGUCUGAGGACUACCUAGUAGUAGCGUCUGCAAGCACUGUUCAGGCCGUCCGGCUGCUGUCCGUGGUGCUGAUCCUGCUCAGCACUGUUCAGGCCGUCCGGCUGCUCUCCGUGGUGCUGAUCCUGCUCAUCACUGUUCAGACCGUCCGGCUGCUGUCCCUGGUGCUGAUUAUCCCCGUGUUCUUGAAAUAUGCUCCUGUUUUUAACUUGAGCAGAAUGCAUUUUCAUCAGCAGUGUCAGAAAUCAGCUCACUAAUUAUCCCAAACGCUAGCUGCCUUUUUUAUAUAGCUAUAUAGCCGUUUCGCCUCCGUUUUUGGACGUGUGGAUCCAAAGAUAAUACCAAUUGUAUUCUCUGUUUGUUUUUGCAUCGGCAACAGUAAUUUUGAAAGCCCUAUUUAGUGUAAGUAUAGUAUGGUUUCUCUGGUGUGUUAUUUCCCCAAAUGUUUGUGUGACAAUCUCACCAGUUAGUCUAGUUGGCAGUAGUGUUCAUUUUUUGCCAAACUCCUGCUGUUGUGGUUAUUAAAGCACUGAGAACCCUCCUUU
Molecule: long non-coding RNA, 1035 nt
Filed under: Cottoperca gobio
Lineage: Eukaryota; Metazoa; Chordata; Actinopteri; Perciformes; Bovichtidae
Description: lncRNA (ENSCGOG00000010231.1)
Source: RNAcentral